This 72-nucleotide transfer RNA is filed under the name Fejervarya iskandari. RNAcentral's name for it is "tRNA-Val". It matches the Rfam family "tRNA". Rfam says of the family: Transfer RNA (tRNA) molecules are approximately 80 nucleotides in length. Their secondary structure includes four short double-helical elements and three loops (D, anti-codon, and T loops). Lineage: Eukaryota; Metazoa; Chordata; Amphibia; Anura; Dicroglossidae. The record is from RNAcentral.
AAAAUGUAGCUUACUAAAUAAAGCGCCUCGCUUACACGGAGUAGAAGUCUGUUUAACCCAGAUCAUUUUGAG